Molecule: ribosomal RNA, 456 nt
Filed under: uncultured bacterium
Lineage: Bacteria
Description: bacterial SSU rRNA
Rfam family: Bacterial small subunit ribosomal RNA
Source: RNAcentral
UACGGGAGGCAGCAGUGGGGAAUAUUGCACAAUGGGCGAAAGCCUGAUGCAGCUAUGCCGCGUGUAUGAAGAAGGCCUUAGGGUUGUAAAGUACUUUCAUCGGGGAGGAAAAACAAAACUAAUAAUUUUAUUUCUUGACGUUACCCGAAAAAGAAGCACCGGCUAACUCCGUGCCAGCAGCCGCGGUAAUACGGAGGGUGCUAGCGUUAAUCAGAAUUACUGGGCGUAAAGAGCACGUAGGUGGUUUUUUUAAGUCAGAUGUGAAAUCCCUGGGCUUAACCUAGGAACUGCAUUUUGAAACUGAAAUACUAGAGUAUCGUAGAGGGAGGUAGAAUUCUAGGUGUAGCGGUGAAAUGCGUAGAUAUCUGGAGGAAUACCUGUGGCGAAAGCGGCUUCCUAAACGGAAUACUGACACUGAGGUGCGAAAGCGUGGGGAGCAAACAGGGAUUAGAUACC